This is a small nucleolar RNA of Arvicanthis niloticus (Nile rat), 130 nucleotides long. RefSeq annotates it as small nucleolar RNA SNORA17. The record is from RefSeq and is a predicted model, not a curated record. NCBI's taxonomy places the organism in Eukaryota, Metazoa, Chordata, Mammalia, Rodentia, Muridae.
GUUGCCCCUAGAGACAUUGCAGGUGAGGCUGUUAUGUCAUGUGUGUCAGUAGGUGGCAGAGAGGAGCGAGGCUAUGUCUACAAUCAGUAUUCUUACCUGUGAACAUCUAAAUGAUUAGUAGCCUAACUUU